RNAcentral lists this transfer RNA (80 nucleotides) under Mycobacterium simulans. Its description in RNAcentral is "tRNA-Asp". The record is from RNAcentral. Lineage: Bacteria; Bacillati; Actinomycetota; Actinomycetes; Mycobacteriales; Mycobacteriaceae.
CGGCGACGUCAGGCCGAGCGCUUCGGCCUCCUCCUUGUCAGGGAUGGUGAUCGUGUGCAGGAGCAUCCUGCCGUCGUCGG